RNAcentral lists this ribosomal RNA (2265 nucleotides) under Escherichia coli. RNAcentral's name for it is "partial 23S ribosomal RNA". It matches the Rfam family "Bacterial large subunit ribosomal RNA", at positions 418 to 2668 of the family's 2925-position model. Lineage: Bacteria; Pseudomonadati; Pseudomonadota; Gammaproteobacteria; Enterobacterales; Enterobacteriaceae. The record is from RNAcentral.
CGGGACACGUGGUAUCCUGUCUGAAUAUGGGGGGACCAUCCUCCAAGGCUAAAUACUCCUGACUGACCGAUAGUGAACCAGUACCGUGAGGGAAAGGCGAAAAGAACCCCGGCGAGGGGAGUGAAAAAGAACCUGAAACCGUGUACGUACAAGCAGUGGGAGCACGCUUAGGCGUGUGACUGCGUACCUUUUGUAUAAUGGGUCAGCGACUUAUAUUCUGUAGCAAGGUUAACCGAAUAGGGGAGCCGAAGGGAAACCGAGUCUUAACUGGGCGUUAAGUUGCAGGGUAUAGACCCGAAACCCGGUGAUCUAGCCAUGGGCAGGUUGAAGGUUGGGUAACACUAACUGGAGGACCGAACCGACUAAUGUUGAAAAAUUAGCGGAUGACUUGUGGCUGGGGGUGAAAGGCCAAUCAAACCGGGAGAUAGCUGGUUCUCCCCGAAAGCUAUUUAGGUAGCGCCUCGUGAAUUCAUCUCCGGGGGUAGAGCACUGUUUCGGCAAGGGGGUCAUCCCGACUUACCAACCCGAUGCAAACUGCGAAUACCGGAGAAUGUUAUCACGGGAGACACACGGCGGGUGCUAACGUCCGUCGUGAAGAGGGAAACAACCCAGACCGCCAGCUAAGGUCCCAAAGUCAUGGUUAAGUGGGAAACGAUGUGGGAAGGCCCAGACAGCCAGGAUGUUGGCUUAGAAGCAGCCAUCAUUUAAAGAAAGCGUAAUAGCUCACUGGUCGAGUCGGCCUGCGCGGAAGAUGUAACGGGGCUAAACCAUGCACCGAAGCUGCGGCAGCGACGCUGAUGCGUUGUUGGGUAGGGGAGCGUUCUGUAAGCCUGUGAAGGUGUGCUGUGAGGCAUGCUGGAGGUAUCAGAAGUGCGAAUGCUGACAUAAGUAACGAUAAAGCGGGUGAAAAGCCCGCUCGCCGGAAGACCAAGGGUUCCUGUCCAACGUUAAUCGGGGCAGGGUGAGUCGACCCCUAAGGCGAGGCCGAAAGGCGUAGUCGAUGGGAAACAGGUUAAUAUUCCUGUACUUGGUGUUACUGCGAAGGGGGGACGGAGAAGGCUAUGUUGGCCGGGCGACGGUUGUCCCGGUUUAAGCGUGUAGGCUGGUUUUCCAGGCAAAUCCGGAAAAUCAAGGCUGAGGCGUGAUGACGAGGCACUACGGUGCUGAAGCAACAAAUGCCCUGCUUCCAGGAAAAGCCUCUAAGCAUCAGGUAACAUCAAAUCGUACCCCAAACCGACACAGGUGGUCAGGUAGAGAAUACCAAGGCGCUUGAGAGAACUCGGGUGAAGGAACUAGGCAAAAUGGUGCCGUAACUUCGGGAGAAGGCACGCUGAUAUGUAGGUGAAGCGACUUGCUCGUGGAGCUGAAAUCAGUCGAAGAUACCAGCUGGCUGCAACUGUUUAUUAAAAACACAGCACUGUGCAAACACGAAAGUGGACGUAUACGGUGUGACGCCUGCCCGGUGCCGGAAGGUUAAUUGAUGGGGUCAGCGCAAGCGAAGCUCUUGAUCGAAGCCCCGGUAAACGGCGGCCGUAACUAUAACGGUCCUAAGGUAGCGAAAUUCCUUGUCGGGUAAGUUCCGACCUGCACGAAUGGCGUAAUGAUGGCCAGGCUGUCUCCACCCGAGACUCAGUGAAAUUGAACUCGCUGUGAAGAUGCAGUGUACCCGCGGCAAGACGGAAAGACCCCGUGAACCUUUACUAUAGCUUGACACUGAACAUUGAGCCUUGAUGUGUAGGAUAGGUGGGAGGCUUUGAAGUGUGGACGCCAGUCUGCAUGGAGCCGGCCUUGAAAUACCACCCUUUAAUGUUUGAUGUUCUAACGUUGACCCGUGAUCCGGGUUGCGGACAGUGUCUGGUGGGUAGUUUGACUGGGGCGGUCUCCUCCUAAAGAGUAACGGAGGAGCACGAAGGUUGGCUAAUCCUGGUCGGACAUCAGGAGGUUAGUGCAAUGGCAUAAGCCAGCUUGACUGCGAGCGUGACGGCGCGAGCAGGUGCGAAAGCAGGUCAUAGUGAUCCGGUGGUUCUGAAUGGAAGGGCCAUCGCUCAACGGAUAAAAGGUACUCCGGGGAUAACAGGCUGAUACCGCCCAAGAGUUCAUAUCGACGGCGGUGUUUGGCACCUCGAUGUCGGCUCAUCACAUCCUGGGGCUGAAGUAGGUCCCAAGGGUAUGGCUGUUCGCCAUUUAAAGUGGUACGCGAGCUGGGUUUAGAACGUCGUGAGACAGUUCGGUCCCUAUCUGCCGUGGGCGCUGGAGAACUGAGGG